RNAcentral lists this ribosomal RNA (372 nucleotides) under uncultured eukaryote. RNAcentral describes it as "SSU rRNA". It matches the Rfam family "Eukaryotic small subunit ribosomal RNA", at positions 587 to 972 of the family's 1831-position model. The record is from RNAcentral.
AGCUCCAAUAGCGUAUAUUAAAGUUGUUGCAGUUAAAAAGCUCGUAGUUGGAUUUCUAGUAGAAGUCAAUAGCACACCUGUGUGAUGCUUGCGACUUUUGCUAUCCUUCUGUUAACCUUGGAAUCAUUGAUUUGUUUCCUUGGAGCUCAGAUAUUUUACCUUGAGAAAAUUAGAGUGUUUCAGGCAGGCAAGUGCCCGGAUACAUUAGCAUGGAAUAAUGGAAUAGGACUUUAGCCUCUUCUGUUGGUCUGAGGGGUUGAAGUAAUGAUUAAUAGGGAUAGUUGGGGGCAUUAGUACUUAACUGUCAGAGGUGAAAUUCUCGGAUUUGUUAAAGACUAACUUAUGCGAAAGCAUUUGCCAAGGAUGUUUUCA